RNAcentral lists this ribosomal RNA (400 nucleotides) under uncultured Anaerovibrio sp. RNAcentral's name for it is "partial 16S ribosomal RNA". Lineage: Bacteria; Bacillati; Bacillota; Negativicutes; Selenomonadales; Selenomonadaceae. The record is from RNAcentral.
GUGCAUCCGUCGCAUGCUGAUCUGCGAUUACUAGCGAUUCCGACUUCAUGCAGGCGAGUUGCAGACUGCAAUCCGAACUGAGACAGGCUUUCUGGGAUUCGCUCCACCUCGCGGUUUCGCUUCCCUCUGUGCCCCCCAUUGUAGUACGUGUGUAGCCCAGGACAUAAGGGGCAUGAUGACUUGACGUCAUCCCCACCUUCCUCCGGUUUGUCCCCGGCAGUCUCCUUUGAGUGCCCACCCUUACCUGCUGGCAACAAGGGCAAGGGGUUGCGCUCGUUGCGGGACUAAACCCAACAUCCCAAAACACGAGCUGACAACCGCCAUGCACCACCGGUUUUCCUGUUCCGAAAGGGACAGGACACUACCUCUAGGUUUUUAAGACGAUGUCGGCCGUGGUAGU